UGGGGAAUAUUGGACAAUGGGCGCAAGCCUGAUCCAGCAAUGCCGCGUGUGUGAAGAAGGCCUUCGGGUUGUAAAGCACUUUUAUCAGGAGCGAAACGCUGUCGGCUAAUACCCGGCGGAACUGACGGUACCUGAGGAAUAAGCACCGGCUAACUUCGUGCCAGCAGCCGCGGUAAUACGAAGGGUGCAAGCGUUAAUCGGAAUUACUGGGCGUAAAGCGUGCGUAGGCGGUUUCUUAAGUCUGCUGUGAAAUCCCCGGGCUCAACCUGGGAAUGGCAGUGGAUACUGGGAGGCUAGAGUGUGUCAGAGGGUGGUGGAAUUCCCGGUGUAGCGGUGAAAUGCGCAGAGAUCGGGAGGAACAUCAGUGGCGAAGGCGGCCACCUGGGACAACACUGACGCUGAGGCACGAAAGCGUGGGGAGCAAACAGGAUUAGAUACCCUGGUAGUCCACGCCCUAAACGAUGCGAACUGGAUGUUGGUCUCAACUCGGAGAUCAGUGUCGAAGCUAACGCGUUAAGUUCGCCGCCUGGGGGAGUACGGUCGCAAGACUGAAACUUAAAUGAAUUGAC
This 569-nucleotide ribosomal RNA is filed under the name uncultured bacterium. Its description in RNAcentral is "partial 16S ribosomal RNA". It matches the Rfam family "Bacterial small subunit ribosomal RNA", at positions 355 to 914 of the family's 1533-position model. The record is from RNAcentral.